GUUCGAGAUUUUUUAAAAUUUUUUUGGAAGGAGUUUUGUCCCCAAACUUGGUAGACGUGAUCCUUGUAUUUUUGUUGGCAUGCACAAAAAAUUCAGCUAAAAACUCGAAGUGUACAAGAUUUUGUGACCAUUUGAAAAAAGUAUCCCCAUUUCAGACACUUUAAUACCUACUGGUAGCAAACCUGUAAAAUCUCAAAUGCUCUUUAAGGGGGUGUGAGUUCUCGAGG
This 227-nucleotide long non-coding RNA is filed under the name Durio zibethinus. Its description in RNAcentral is "long non-coding RNA (DZIB_LNC000840)". The record is from RNAcentral. Lineage: Eukaryota; Viridiplantae; Streptophyta; Magnoliopsida; Malvales; Malvaceae.